UAUAAGAAGGAUGCGGCCUGGUUGGAGGUAACACAACAGCUAUUCGCCACCAUCUGGCAGAAAACCCAAGGGCAAAGUCGUCAUAAUUUGAUUGAAGAGGUCAAGAAUCGUUGGCGGAGCUGCCGAGACCAAUUUCGCAAGAAACUCAAACAUCAUGGACAUAGUGGUUCCGCCCCACCCAAAAAAAAGGCCUUAUAUAUUUAAGGAGCAGCUGAUGUUCCUCUCUAAAGUCAUGGAGCUCCAUGCAAUGGAGGACAAUCUAGAGGAAGAGGAAGGGGAAGAGUCUGCACCCCAGCUUUCCAGUGCAUGUGAAGAAGAGGCGACCACUGGGGCUGGGCAGAUUGAGAGUGUGCCUGGACCCACCCCUGCAACAUCCAGGCCUGCAGCUACAUCCGCAGCAGAUUUCCUCUAUUUGGCUCUACCCAGCCGGCCCAGACGCCGGCCAAUGCCUCCUGCCGAGACUCAUGUUAAUAUGCAAGUUCUAUAUUAUUUAUCUAGAGCCCGGCAGGAGGAUCAUCACGAUCUGUUUGGCCGGAGUCUGGCCUA
Molecule: long non-coding RNA, 546 nt
Organism: Bufo bufo (common toad)
Lineage: Eukaryota; Metazoa; Chordata; Amphibia; Anura; Bufonidae
Exons: 3
Source: RefSeq, a predicted model, not a curated record